This 447-nucleotide ribosomal RNA is filed under the name uncultured bacterium. RNAcentral describes it as "partial 16S ribosomal RNA". It matches the Rfam family "Bacterial small subunit ribosomal RNA", at positions 29 to 523 of the family's 1533-position model. The record is from RNAcentral.
AACGAACGCUGGCGGCAGGCUUAACACAUGCAAGUCGAACGCCCCGCAAGGGGAGUGGCAGACGGGUGAGUAACGCGUGGGAAUCUACCGUACCCUACGGAACAACAGUUGGAAACGACUGCUAAUACCGUAUACGCCCUACGGGGGAAAGAUUUAUCGGGGUAUGAUGAGCCCGCGUUGGAUUAGCUAGUUGGUGGGGUAAAGGCCUACCAAGGCGACGAUCCAUAGCUGGUCUGAGAGGAUGAUCAGCCACAUUGGGACUGAGACACGGCCCAAACUCCUACGGGAGGCAGCAGUGGGGAAUAUUGGACAAUGGGCGCAAGCCUGAUCCAGCCAUGCCGCGUGAGUGAUGAAGGUCUUAGGAUUGUAAAGCUCUUUCACCGAUGAAGAUAAUGACGGUAGUCGGAGAAGAAGCCCCGGCUAACUUCGUGCCAGCAGCCGCGGUAA